CAAAAAGGCCAAAACCCCACCACUCUCCCCGCCUCUCUCUCCCCCCUCCCUUGAACAGAGGCUAAACUCUUGGGGGGGAUAAAGAGAUAAGAGAGAAUCCAAGCAACACACAUACACAAAACCCUUAGCUGCCACCAAAGCCUCUUUUGAAGAUAUAGUUUUUAAGGGAGCAUUCAUUCUGAGGGGAAUGUUGUCUGGACCGGGGACACUUGUGUUUCUAAUCCAUUUUCCCUGCAAUAUUGUUCUGGCCAUGGGGAUCUUUAUAUUGCUUAUUUUUGUAAUGGAUUAAGGUUGUACUAGUGUCGUCGGACCAGGCUUCAUUCCCCCCAAUCAUUGCUCCCAUAUGCAACUCCCAUGGACUGCAGCAUGUAAAAAAGGUUUGGGUUGUUUUUUUGGAUCAUUGGGGUGUUUUAUUUACUGAAAUUAAGGUUGUUUGUUACUUUGCAGUGCAAUGAUGAAAGGGUUUUUGACCAAUUUGUUAAAGUUUCAUCAUUACUUUCUUUUCUUUUCUUUUUUUCUGUCAGUACUAAGUUUGUAAACCCUCUUUUCUAGUUCAUCAUUACUCAGAUCUUUUUCCAUGAUGGCUUCUUUUUUUUCUUUUUAUCUCAUCUGUCAGUUUUAUGCUUGUUUCAUGCUGUUAUUAAGAUCUGGUUUUCAAGUUUGGUCAAACUUUAUCUCUAGGGUUUCAAGUUGGAGAUGAUGUUUACAGACAUAUUCACUUAUAUAUUCUCAAAUAUACAGAUCUGCACUACAUGUUACCAGAUUUGCAUGGAUAAGAAAAUGCUUUAGGUCUUAAACUAAAUAUGAUGCAGUAAUAGUUUUGAUUAUAUAUAUAUAGCUAGCUUGUGCGUCUUUGGAAUGAAUAAGGAAUGUAAUAUUUAAACUCUUUUUACUGUUGAUAAGACUAAUUUUUGAGAAAGUAAUGUUAACAUAAUUUCUAUUUUGUAAAAUAUAUUUUACUAUUACAUCCAUUAAUUGCUGAUGGCUUUUUGCAUGAAAGAGCUUUGCCAAUGGAAGUGUGGGUAUGAUGAAAGGAAAACUACUUACUUUGGCUUUGUUAUUAUUACAUCUUACCUAAAAAUUGAUCAACAAGAAAUGUUGAAUGUUUGUAAUUCAGUAAAAUAAUAAUAAUAACAUCUUUAUACUACCAUUGUAGUAAUAAUAAUUUCUUUUCUUUUAUUUUUUUUGUAAAAAAAUAAGAAUUUUUAUAUAAUAAAUGAUACCUUUGUUAUAUUUGGACUUAUUUGAUUCUUUUUAAUAAAGAUUAAAUUGAUCCAUUUAAUAAGAGACCUACGAGAUAUUUUAACCAGUUUUUAUCGAUCAAAAACUAGCUUAGUUUUUUAUUAACUUUGUUUUCUAGUGUGGCAAAAGAUGUUUAUUACCCAAGAAAUUUUUUAAGCUUACAUUACAUUUUUAGAGAAAAGAAGAAAGGGUUUUAAUCACAUCAAACUUGGAAUCACAUGCCACCACUUGAACCGGCAUAUAAACAUAUCUUGUGAUCCUAUGCUCGGCUUGAUUUCAUUUCAUCUCAUAAAAAGUUUUCAAUAUUGUCCACCAGCUACUUCCCAUCAGCUUUGAAGGACCCGUGAUUUGAAACUAUAUGUCGGGUGCUAGCGUUGCCAUUGCCAAUCUUUGAAUGGCCGAAUGUUUUCCCAAUGUGGUUGAGGCACUUUGAUUAUCAACCUAUUUGAGUUCGUAGUUUUAAAUAAAGUUAAUUUUAACUUGACCCCUUAACAUAUCUUGGCUUCAAUCAUGGAUCUUAGCUAACUCGUUGGAUGCAUUUAGCUA
This 1788-nucleotide long non-coding RNA is filed under the name Gossypium barbadense (sea-island cotton). Its description in RNAcentral is "long non-coding RNA (GBAR_LNC011650)". The stretch from base 178 to 331 matches the Rfam family "mir-166 microRNA precursor family". Lineage: Eukaryota; Viridiplantae; Streptophyta; Magnoliopsida; Malvales; Malvaceae. The record is from RNAcentral.